This 547-nucleotide ribosomal RNA is filed under the name uncultured Diversispora. RNAcentral describes it as "SSU rRNA". It matches the Rfam family "Eukaryotic small subunit ribosomal RNA", at positions 548 to 1098 of the family's 1831-position model. The record is from RNAcentral. Lineage: Eukaryota; Fungi; Glomeromycota; Glomeromycetes; Diversisporales; Diversisporaceae.
UUGGAGGGCAAGUCUGGUGCCAGCAGCCGCGGUAAUUCCAGCUCCAAUAGCGUAUAUUAAAGUUGUUACAGUUAAAAAGCUCGUAGUUGAACUUCGGGGUUUACCCAUUGGUCAGGCUUAAUUGUCUGUACUGGUGAGAUGAAUCUCUACCUUCUGAGGAACUUUCAUGCCAUUUAUUUGGUGUGAUGGGAAAUCAGGACUGUUACUUUGAAAAAAUUAGAGUGUUUAAAGCAGGCUAGCGUCUGAAUACAUUAGCAUGGAAUAAUAAAAUAGGACGGUGGUCCUGUUUUGUUGGUUUCUGAAUCACCGUAAUGAUUAAUAGGGAUAGUUGGGGGCAUUAGUAUUCAAUUGUCAGAGGUGAAAUUCUUGGAUUUAUUGAAGACUAACUUCUGCGAAGGCAUUUGCCAAGGAUGUUUUCAUUAAUCAAGAACGAAAGUUAGGGGAUCGAAGACGAUCAGAUACCGUCGUAGUCUUAACCAUAAACUAUGCCGACUAGGGAUCGGACGAUGUUAAAUUUUAUUGACUCGUUCGGCGCCUUACGGGAAAC